Molecule: long non-coding RNA, 1334 nt
Filed under: Monodelphis domestica (gray short-tailed opossum)
Lineage: Eukaryota; Metazoa; Chordata; Mammalia; Didelphimorphia; Didelphidae
Description: lncRNA (ENSMODG00000035085.2)
Source: RNAcentral
GUGGAGAUUCAGAUGGUUAGUGAUGGCCACAGUUUCUUUUUCUCCUUUUGCUUGCCAAGUGUUUGGCUGCUGAUCACAUUUCCAGGAAAUCUGAGCUUUCCUUGAAAAUGUUGCUUCUUGUAAGUUCUUCUCUUUUAGUGAAUAUCAAUUCAGGGACCAGAAUCCCCAGCUCCAAUUUCUUGUGGCAUUUUCAUUUCUUGGGGAAAAUGAAAUAGAAGUUGGGUCAGCUAAUAAGUAAUCAACAAGCAUUUAUUAACCUUAACCUCUUCUGACAUACUAAGGAUCUUCAAGAAGGGUUGAGGAUUCAAAGAAUGACAAAGCCGUUGCCUGACACAUUCCAAAGAGGAACACAGACAUGGAAAUGUCUAAGUAUACACAUAAGAGCCUCAGGAGGGAAGACACUAGAAGUUGCAAGGACUAGGAAUGGUUUCCUACAAAAGGCCAGCAAGAUUAUGCUUGAGAUUCUACAAGCUAAGUUCCAGGAAUAUGUGACCCAAGAAUUACCAAAAGAACAGGAUGAUUUUUGAAUAGUCAGAGGAACUAGAGACCAAAUUGCCAACAUUCAUUGGAUUAUGAAGAAAGGAAAAGAGUACUAGGUAAACAUCUACUCCAACAUCAUUUGACUCUUCUAAACUCUUCAUGUGGAUCACAACAAAUGUGGCAAGUUCCCAAAGAGUUAGGAAUCCCAGAUCAUCUUACUUGUCUCCUGAGGAACUUUUACGCAGGCCAAUAAGUGACAAUUAGAACCAAACAUGGAACAUCUAAUUUGCAUAAAAUUAUGAAAGGAGUAUGACAAGCUGUAUAUUGUCAUUUAUUUAAUUUAUAUGCAGAAUACAUUAUGUGAAAUGCUAGGCUAGAUAAAUCAAAAGCCAGAAUUAAGGUUGCCAAGAGAAAUAUCAACAAUCUCAGAUAUGCAGAUGAUACUACUCUAAUGGCAAAAAGUAAAGAAGAAUUAAGAAGCCUUGAUGAGGAUGAAAGAACUGGAGUGAAGCUUAACAUGACAACAAAAGCUUCAGAUAUUGGCAGUUAGACCCAUUACUUCCUGGAAAAUAUAGAGAGAAGAAAGGGAAGCAAGUGUCAGAUUUUAUAUUCUUGGGCUCAAAGAUCAUCGCAGAUGGUGACUAUAACCAUGAAAUUAAAAAAAAUGCUUAAUUCUUGCAGAAAGUUUUGGCAAUUCUGGAUAGCAUACUAAAAAGGAGAAACACCAUCUUGCAGACAAAAGUAGUCAAAUCUCUGUUUUCCCCAGUAGCAAUAUCUUGCUUUUUCUCUCCCAUCUUUCUAUUUAUCUAUCAAUCAUCAGAAAGUUAUCAAUAAAGAGAUACUUGCUAGACCCA